Cervus hanglu yarkandensis (Yarkand deer) is the source of this 129-nucleotide small nucleolar RNA. Lineage: Eukaryota; Metazoa; Chordata; Mammalia; Artiodactyla; Cervidae. The record is from Ensembl.
GUUGAGAUCUGUCCUGAGGGCUUUUUCUAUAGACCUGCGUAAUUAGAAACAUCUCACAAAGUAAAGAGUUUGUUUCCUCUACUCACAGAACUAUGCAUUAAAUCUGCAAGAAAGAACUAUAAGACAGAG